RNAcentral lists this ribosomal RNA (849 nucleotides) under Triticum aestivum (bread wheat). RNAcentral's name for it is "partial small subunit ribosomal RNA". Lineage: Eukaryota; Viridiplantae; Streptophyta; Magnoliopsida; Poales; Poaceae. The record is from RNAcentral.
AUGGCUAUGGAUGCUUCGUGUUCGAGAAAGAACCCAACUCCGUUGGGCCAGGCGUAUUCAACUAGAGGCGGGUUUACAGCCUCGGCAACCACUCCUUGUUCCUCGGGCUCAAUAAUCCGAUCAUCAAACCAAUCAUCGAUCAUAGCACCGGCGAUGAUUACCAUGCUAUGCACCUUCCAUUCGCCAGGGGGGACUGUGUUUACACAUCAUACCAUGGGUUUCACGAAUCACCAUAUCCAGAGAUUCAUCGACACAGCUUGUUGCCAAAUAAUCUUUAUACCAUAUAACUGGAAUUACCGAUGCAAGUCGAAGAAGGAUUGGUCGGUGCUGCCGGCUGGCGUCAAGUUCGAUCCCAUGGAUCAGGAGCUGAUCGAGCACCUUGAGGCCAAAGUGAGCACGGCAUAUGCUACACCCAACCUGAGAAACUUCCAGCGCAAUUCCAGGGCAUUCAAAAGGGACACAUGGAUGCGUCGCAAGAUACAAUCGGAGUGCGGCAUGCACGCGAUGUGGCACAAGAGUGGCAAUACCUUGCCGGUGAUGGUCAACGGCCGGGAGACGGGCAGCAAAAAGUUUCUGAUGCUGCACACCAACAAGAACUUCGACCAGCAGAGGACCAACUGGGUGAUGCACCAGUACCACCUCGGGGACCUGGAACAAGAGAAGGAGCAGGAGCUGGUCCUCUGCAAGAUUUUCUACCAGACGAGCACUAGGGCCAGGAGUAAAAAGAUUAUAAGUCAGUUUGGUAUUGGUAGUUGUACUACCUUGUCGUCCUCAAGUUGGUCGAGCAAGUUUCAACUGGGCUGUAGACUGCCCAGGCUUGGUUUUGUUUUUAACAGGCCCAGCCCAUGA